RNAcentral lists this ribosomal RNA (303 nucleotides) under uncultured fungus. RNAcentral describes it as "partial small subunit ribosomal RNA". It matches the Rfam family "Eukaryotic small subunit ribosomal RNA", at positions 30 to 329 of the family's 1831-position model. The record is from RNAcentral. Lineage: Eukaryota; Fungi.
GCUUGUCUCAAAGAUUAAGCCAUGCAUGUCUAAGUACGCACGGCCGGUACAGUGAAACUGCGAAUGGCUCAUUAAAUCAGUUAUGAUCUACGUGACAUAUUCUUUACUACUUGGAUAACCGUGGUAAUUCUAGAGCUAAUACAUGCAAAAAAACCCAGACUUACGAAUGGGUGCACUUAUUAGAUAAAGCCAACGCUGGGUAAAACCAGUUUCCCUUGGUGAUUCAUAAUAAUUAAGCGGAUCGCAUGGCCUUGUGCUAGCGACAGUCCACUCGAUUUUCUGCCCUAUCAUGGUUGAGAUUGU